AAGGCAAAAGCGCGCUUAACUGCGAGACCCACAAGUCGAGCAGGUACGAAAGUAGGUCUUAGUGAUCCGGUGGUUCUGUAUGGAAGGGCCAUCGCUCAACGGAUAAAAGGUACUCUGGGGAUAACAGGCUGAUACCGCCCAAGAGUUCAUAUCGACGGCGGUGUUUGGCACCUCGAUGUCGGCUCAUCUCAUCCUGGGGCUGAAGCAGGUCCCAAGGGUAUGGCUGUUCGCCAUUUAAAGAGGUACGCGAGCUGGGUUUAGAACGUCGUGAGACAGUUCGGUCCCUAUCUACCGUGGGCGCUGGAAAUUUGAGAGGAUCUGCUCCUAGUACGAGAGGACCAGAGUGGACGAACCUCUGGUGUACCGGUUGUGACGCCAGUCGCAUCGCCGGGUAGCUAUGUUCGGAAGGGAUAACCGCUGAAAGCAUCUAAGCGGGAAGCCUACCUCAAGAUAAGAUUUCCCUAGGACUUUAUGUCCUCUAAAGAGCCGUUCGAGACUAGGACGUUGAUAGGUUGGAUGUGGAAGCAUAGUGAUAUGUGAAGCUGACCAAUACUAAUUGCUCGUGAGGCUUGACUAU
Molecule: ribosomal RNA, 577 nt
Filed under: Acinetobacter baumannii
Lineage: Bacteria; Pseudomonadati; Pseudomonadota; Gammaproteobacteria; Moraxellales; Moraxellaceae
Description: partial 23S ribosomal RNA
Rfam family: Bacterial large subunit ribosomal RNA
Source: RNAcentral